RNAcentral lists this ribosomal RNA (305 nucleotides) under uncultured bacterium. RNAcentral's name for it is "bacterial SSU rRNA". It matches the Rfam family "Bacterial small subunit ribosomal RNA", at positions 336 to 634 of the family's 1533-position model. The record is from RNAcentral.
UUCCUACGGGGGGCAGCAGUGGGGAAUUUUGGACAAUGGGCGCAAGCCUGAUCCAGCUAUUCCGCGUGUGGGAAGACGGCCUUCGGGUUGUAAACCACUUUUGUAGAGAACGAAAAGUCUGUCGAUAAUACCGAUAGAUGAUGACGGUACUCUAAGAAUAAGCACCGGCUAACUACGUGCCAGCAGCCGCGGUAAUACGUAGGGUGCGAGCGUUAAUCGGAUUUAUUGGGUUUAAAGGGUGCGUAGGCGGAAUGCCAAGUCAGCGGUAAAAUCGCGGGGCUCAACCUCGCUCCGCCGUUGAAACU